This 1245-nucleotide long non-coding RNA is filed under the name Zonotrichia albicollis (white-throated sparrow). RNAcentral's name for it is "lncRNA (ENSZALG00000001521.1)". The record is from RNAcentral. Lineage: Eukaryota; Metazoa; Chordata; Aves; Passeriformes; Passerellidae.
AUGGAGAACGCCAACGUGCUGGCGCGCUACGGCAGCAUCUGCCAGCAGGUCACCAGUGUCACCNUUCUUUCUCCAUUUUUUUCCCAAUUUUUUCCUCCGUGUCCCCACCGAUGUCCCCAAUGUCCUCAAUGUCCCCAACAUCCCCAAUGUCCUCAAUGUCCUCAAUCCCAAUUUUUCCCAAUUUUCCACCAUUGUUUUCUCAAAUUUCCACCGAUUUUUCUCAAAUUUUCUCCAAUUUUCUUCCAAAUUUUUUCUCAAUAUCCCCCAAUGUCCCCAAUGUCCCCAAUGUCCUCAAUGUCCCCAAUCCCAUUUUCCCCAAUUUUCCACCAUUUUUUUCCCAAUUUUCCACCAUUUUUUUCCAAUUCUCCACCGACCUUCCUCAUUUUUCCACCGAUUUUCCUCGUUUUUUCACCAUUUUUUCUCCAUUUUUUUCCCAAUUUUUUCCUCCGUGUCCCCACCGAUGUCCCCAAUAUCCCCAAUGUCCCCAACAUCCCCAAUGUCCUCAAUGUCCCAACAUCCCCAAUGUCCCCAAUCCCAUUUUUUCCCAAUUUUCCACCAUUUUUUUCUCAAAUUUCCUCUGAUUUUCCUCAUUUUUUCACCGAUUUUUCUCCGAUUUUUUCCCAAUUUUUUCCUCCGUGUCCCCUCCGUGUCCCCACCGAUGUUCCCAAUCUCCUCAAUGUCCCCAAUCCCAUUUUUCCCAAUUCUCCACCGAUUUUCCUCAUUUUUUCACCAAUUUUCCUCAUUUUUUCACCGAUUUUUCUCCGAUUUUUUUCCCAAUUUUUUCCUCCACGUCCCCUCCGAUGUCCCCAAUGUCCUCAAUGUCCCCAAUGUCCCCAAUCCCAAUGUCCCCAAUGUCCCCAAUGUCCCCAAUCCCAUUUUUUCCCCAAUUCUCCACCUAUUUUCCUCAUUUUUUCACCGAUUUUUCUCAAAUUUUUUCCUAUUUUUUUCCAAACUUUUUCUCAAUGUCCUCCAAUGUCCCUAAAGGUCCUCAGUGUCCCCAAUGUCCCCAAUCCCAAUUUUUCCCAAUUUUCCACCAUUUUUUUCCCAAUUCUCCACCGAUCUUCCUCAUUUUUCCACCGACCUUCCUCAUUUUUCCACCGUUUUUCCUCAUUUUUUCACCGUUUUUUCUCGUUUUUUCACCGUUCCUUCUCCAUUUUUUUCCCCAAUUUUUCCCCUGGGUGUCCCCUGGGUGUCCCCAGGGCUGGACGGGCUGAUGGAGCGCUGUGCCCAGUACAAGAAGGACGG